This 3344-nucleotide long non-coding RNA is filed under the name Fragaria vesca (wild strawberry). Its description in RNAcentral is "long non-coding RNA (FVES_LNC001772)". Lineage: Eukaryota; Viridiplantae; Streptophyta; Magnoliopsida; Rosales; Rosaceae. The record is from RNAcentral.
AACUACAUUCCUCUGUGAUAGAAAGUAAUGCAAAUUGAUAAACCAUAAUCUAGAAAAUCUAGAUUAACAAGAGAAACUAGAAAAAUUAAGAGAAGUGUUCAGCUACUAGCUAGAAAAGUCUAGAACAAUUAAGUAUAAUCUAGCUUGGUUUAAAAUAGUCCAUAAGGUCGGUGGACUAAAAUUAAGUGAUCAAUAUGUCAGUGGCCAGUUAAGAUCGGUUAACAAAGACCUAUAAAUAUGUAUGUAUGUAAUGUAAUUGUACUCAAUUCAUGAGUGAAUGAAUAGAAGCAAGUCAUUCAAAGUAGUCCUCCUUUGUCUUCACAUUCUCCUCUUAAUCUCCAAAACAUCAUUGUUCUAAUAACAAAAUAAUCUAGCUUGGUCUAGAGUAAUCCAUAAGAUAGGUGGACUAAGGUUAAGUGAGUAUGUCAGUGGCUAGCUAGAAAAAUCUAGAACAAUUAGGGCAUCUCCAACAAUCCUUUUUAUACCCAUACUCGUACCUAUAUUUUGAGUCACCUAAACCUAUUACUAUUCAAACAUAUAUUCCAUCUCCAACCAUUAUAUCAAAACUCAUAUUCAUACCCAAAUUUUAAUCAUUUAAAAACAAUACUUUCAGCCUCAUUUUUUCUUUUUCCAGCUGAAUUUAUCUGGACCUUUCAUUUUGAAUGAAAGGCAAAUCUGGGCCACACAUUUUAUGACUGUUGGAGGACCAUUGGCGAGCUCACGUGAAACCACCCACACCAAUCCAGCUCUCUUCAACGCGUUGUUCGCGCGUCUCUCUUUUCUGUCAGUUUUUUUGUCUUUUUGCGCGCUUCUGCUGCAGGUGGGAUGACUGGCGCGUGGCUCCUGCUGUUGCAGACUCUUCACAUGCAGCUGCUGCCUUCUGGGUCCCGCGUCACCCACAAAUGGGUUUCCUCCCUACGACUUGACCCAUUUUGGGCCGUGAGUCUGGUAGGAACCCAUAAUUAGGUAUGAGUUUUUAUUGUUAAAGAUGAGUUUUUAUGGGUUAUGAGUAUAGGUAUGGGUAUAGCAACUGUUGUUGGAGAUGCCCUUAAGUACUUAAGUAUAAUCUAGCUUGGUCUAGAGUGGUCUAUAAGGUCGGUGGACUAAGGUUAAGUGAGUAUGUCAGUGGCUAGUCAAUGUCGGUUAACGAAAGCCUAUAAAUAUGUAUGCAUGUAAUGUGAUUAUACUCAACUCAUGGGUGAUUAAUGAAGCAAGCCAUUGAAGUUAAGUAAGUCCUCCUCUUAUCAACAUCUCCUAACUUAACCUCCUAACUCACUUGUCCUAGUUAUCAUAUACCUCCCAAGUCUAGCUCCUAACCAACUUGCCCUAAACACAUUGUCUAAGCCCAUCACACAUUAAACACUUCCGCACAUUAAACUAUGAUUGUGGUAACCACAAAUUCUAAUUAAAGUGGUAUAAACCCACAACAAUUUCUAAUAGUGAUAUCAGAGCCGCUUCUAAAAACUAACAGUGGUAUCAGAGCUACUUCUAAAACCUAACAAUGCCAUAGCUUAGAAAAUAGAAAAUAACAUCUUUUUCCUAAUGUAAUAUUCAUUUGCAUUAUAUAGUUAAUUUAGAUUUUCUUAGGCAUAUACCUAAACACAUGAACAUAAAUAAUAGUUUGCUACUGAGUAGAUAAAUAGAUUGCACAAACACAACUUACACACAAAAGUAACCAACAAAGAACCCACAUUGGAGGACAAACUCAACAAACAUUGCAAACAUGAACCAUUGAAAGUUUUAAUAGAAACUCAUAACAUUAUCAAUUCCAAUAGAAUGAAAAUGAAACCUACAACAUCAGAUGGAUCAAAUUUCACACAAAUCGAUAGCCAGGCCAUGUUGCUGAAACGUACAACAAUAGAGUUUUAAAGCGUACAAUUUUAAGAGAUUGAACAACUUGCACUACAUAAACACCUCUACCAAACUCAUUCUCACACACAAUUAUGAAUUCAUUGCAAAAGAACAUAUAAAGAAUUCAACCAAAUGAACAUGAACAAAACUCAAAAUUCACUUACAUCACUGUUGUUGAUAAGAUAAUGUCACCUUGGGCAUUCACGAUUUGGAUUUGAGAAGAACAAUUUUUUAUUUUGUUUGCAAAUCCUCUGUUGUUGAUCAACCAAGGCCUAUAAGAAUUAUGUACUACAUUAGCUCAAAUUCAAUUACAGUAGUUUCCAUUAACAAUAUAAAGUAACCAACAAAGAAACCACAUUGCAAGACAAACUAGACAAACAUUGCAAACAUGAACCAUUGAAAAAUUUAAUAGAAACUCCCAACAUUAUCAACUCCAAUAGAAUGAAAAUGAAAACCAACAUUACAAAAUCAAAAGAAGAAAGCUGAAAUGGGUCUCAGAAAACACCUAAAAACCUACACCAAAACUUCUUCAUGUCUUAAGAUUUAUUCGGAGCGGAUUCAGUGCACCAUGGUGCACUUGAGCUAACUAACAGUUUAAUACUCCAUUUGGUUAGUGAAGAAGAACAAAAAAAAAAAAAUGGUCGACAUCUGUUUGAAACUCUGCCUCCGCCUUCUUCUGCAAAACAAUUAAACAAACGCACACCGGUUCGGUAAAACGCCAUUGAAGAAGCCUAAGCAGCCCUCUCAGCCAAACCCAGAUAUCAAAAAGUGUCUAAUAGCCUCCCAAGGAACCCUCCGAACCAUACCCAGAAAGAAGGUAAUUCUUCAUUUUUUUUUCAUAGGCUUCAAUUCAAUCCUUUCACCAAUAGAAAGAGGACAACCAAAUUCCAAUAUCUAGAAAGUUCCUAGUUUCUUCCCAAUAUUGCAGCAACCCAACAUUCCCAUCGUCAACCCAGAACCAAUAUUAAUUAUUAAAUGAGAAGUCUAUCGAAUCACCAAUAAAGUUGAUGAACCCAUGAUUGUUGCCGCAAUGAAAUCCCAAAAGGACAAAAAAUUCACUAGGCGUCUGAAUCUAUAAAUUUCAAAAUCUCAAUCUGCUCCCAAUUUCGUACCUGCAAAUUUCAAAGAAGAAAGCUUGAUUCAACUCCACAUUGCACCACCAAUCAAUCUGCUAUGUUUAAAAAAAGCAAGCUCAUGAUCAAAACCACAAAAAAUAAGAAUCUGCUGCCCCAUUCACAGAAGCGACACAACUCAUAUAAAUAAAACCCAGAAAAGUGAUUGAUCCAAAGCCAAGAGCCUCCGUUCAAAGACUCUGAUUUGGAUAGUGGUUUUUUUGUUCAAUCUCUCUAGUUACGUUGACUGUCAGUCAGACGAAGUAUUAAUUAUGAUAGAAUUAAAUUAGUGGUUCAUAUUGCGCCACAUGUCAUUAAAGGUAGUGGUAUACUUAUACCUUGAUGCAUACAAGAACUUUCGAGAUUUAUUGGACAUAGUAG